UACGUAGGGUGCGAGCGUUGUCCGGAAUUAUUGGGCGUAAAGAGCUCGUAGGCGGUCUGUCGCGUCGAAUGUGAAAACCCGGGGCUCAACUCCGGGCUUGCAUUCGAUACGGGCAGACUAGAGUUCGGUAGGGGAGUCUGGAAUUCCUGGUGUAGCGGUGAAAUGCGCAGAUAUCAGGAGGAACACCGGUGGCGAAGGCGGGACUCUGGGCCGAUACUGACGCUGAGGAGCGAAAGCGUGGGGAGCAAACAGG
Molecule: ribosomal RNA, 253 nt
Filed under: uncultured bacterium
Lineage: Bacteria
Description: partial 16S ribosomal RNA
Rfam family: Bacterial small subunit ribosomal RNA
Source: RNAcentral